Molecule: small RNA, 500 nt
Filed under: Pongo abelii (Sumatran orangutan)
Lineage: Eukaryota; Metazoa; Chordata; Mammalia; Primates; Hominidae
Description: processed transcript
Source: RNAcentral
UUGCCCUUUUUUUUAGGAGUGUUCCCUGGAAAAGAGGGACGGAUGAACCUGGAAGGCCAAAUCCUUGUAGCUGUCUUCUUGCCCCGGUCAGUGCCAGCCGUACUAUUCACAACACUGCUGCUACCGAGGCCUAGGAUCAGUUCUUAAGAGCAGCCCCGGUAACUGGAGGAAUGGGAGCCGUUUUGAUGAGAAAAAUGGGCUGGAGAGAAGGAGAAGGAUUAGGAAAAAACAAAGAAGGCAAUAAGGAACCCAUCCUAGUUGAUUUUAAGACAGACCGAAAAGGUCUUGUUGCAGUAGGAGAAAGAGCACAAAAGAGGUCUGGGAACUUCUCUGCUGCAAUGAAAGAUCUGUCAGGCAAACAUCCUGUGUCUGCUUUGAUGGAAAUCUGUAAUAAGAGAAGGUGGCAACCACCUGAAUUUCUAUUGGUCCAUGAUAGUGGCCCUGAUCAUCGCAAACAUUUUCUCUUUAGGGUAUUGAUAAAUGGAAGCGCUUACCAGCCC